RNAcentral lists this ribosomal RNA (450 nucleotides) under uncultured bacterium. RNAcentral describes it as "bacterial SSU rRNA". It matches the Rfam family "Bacterial small subunit ribosomal RNA", at positions 354 to 796 of the family's 1533-position model. The record is from RNAcentral.
GUGGGGAAUAUUGGACAAUGGGCGAAAGCCUGAUCCAGCCAUGCCGCGUGUGUGAAGAAGGUCUUCGGAUUGUAAAGCACUUUAAGUUGGGAGGAAGGGCAGUAAGUUAAUACCUUGCUGUUUUGACGUUACCGACAGAAUAAGCACCGGCUAACUUCGUGCCAGCAGCCGCGGUAAUACGAAGGGUGCAAGCGUUAAUCGGAAUUACUGGGCGUAAAGCGCGCGUAGGUGGUUUUGUAAGUUGGAGGUGAAAUCCCCGGGCUCAACCUGGGAACUGCCUCCAAAACUACUGAGCUAGAGUACGGUAGAGGGUAGUGGAAUUUCCUGUGUAGCGGUGAAAUGCGUAGAUAUAGGAAGGAACACCAGUGGCGAAGGCGACUACCUGGACUGAUAUUGACGCUGAGGCACGAAAGCGUGGGGAGCAAACAGGAUUAGAAACCCCGGUAGUCC